CUUAAAUUGAAGAGUUUGAUCAUGGCUCAGAUUGAACGCUGGCGGCAGGCCUAACACAUGCAAGUCGAGCGGUAGCACAGAAGAGCUUGCUCUUUGGGUGACGAGCGGCGGACGGGUGAGUAAUGUCUGGGAAACUGCCUGAUGGAGGGGGAUAACUACUGGAAACGGUAGCUAAUACCGCAU
Molecule: ribosomal RNA, 183 nt
Filed under: Pectobacterium carotovorum subsp. carotovorum
Lineage: Bacteria; Pseudomonadati; Pseudomonadota; Gammaproteobacteria; Enterobacterales; Pectobacteriaceae
Description: partial 16S ribosomal RNA
Rfam family: Bacterial small subunit ribosomal RNA
Source: RNAcentral